Molecule: non-coding RNA, 45 nt
Filed under: Trichobilharzia regenti
Lineage: Eukaryota; Metazoa; Platyhelminthes; Trematoda; Strigeidida; Schistosomatidae
Source: RNAcentral
AUCCAGACGACGAGACCCAAAUAGGACGAGAUGCGCAUCCUAGAU